This is a long non-coding RNA of Lagopus leucura (white-tailed ptarmigan), 709 nucleotides long. RefSeq lists it as uncharacterized. The record is from RefSeq and is a predicted model, not a curated record. NCBI's taxonomy places the organism in Eukaryota, Metazoa, Chordata, Aves, Galliformes, Phasianidae. The transcript has 5 exons.
GCCAUGAUGGCGCGGGGCGGGUGCGGCUGCGGGUGCGGCUGGCUCUGGGUGGACGCCUGAACGCCUAACCUGUGACCCAGCGUAACUGGAGAAACAGAUUAUGUGUUCAGUGUGCUAUUGCUGUUUAGACGCGAGGAACCAGGACGUGCGGUGUUGGGAAGUUACAAUAACGUCUGUACCUGGGUAAAUAUCUAGAGACGGGCUGGAGGAACAGGGGAGCCUGCCUGAUAGCUGAAGAAAGCAGUCUCUGACAAAGAGUGUCUAAUCAUCUGAGCAUCCCUGUGGUACCCUGCCUCACCCAGUGCUGGAGCUUAUUCUCUGAUGGUUUGGUUUUAGCACAGAGCUUGCUGCUGAAGGCUCUCAAAUCUUGCUGCCCUGCCGGCUCCUGACACCGCCGGUGGGGGUGGAUUUUGCAUUUAUUACUUCACAGUGACACCUGCUGGAAAAGACCCCUUCCUUAGGCAGAAGUCUGUGCUGGAGCUAUUAAUGCUGAGCUCUGACUGCUGACCCAAGGUGUAACCCUGUCAGACAUCAUUUCCUCAAGCUAGCGGAGACUAGGACCUCCUGGGGAAACCCCCAAAGGUGCUCACUGCUCUGCUCUCUGAAACGGUGGUGGUGCACAGCUGAGAUGGAUGGCAAGAGUCUCUGAAAUCUGCAACCUAAAAUAUGCUAUCACCAUGCUGAUUUGUUAUUUUGGCAUGUUAGACAA